Molecule: long non-coding RNA, 1097 nt
Filed under: Cicer arietinum (chickpea)
Lineage: Eukaryota; Viridiplantae; Streptophyta; Magnoliopsida; Fabales; Fabaceae
Description: long non-coding RNA (CARI_LNC000862)
Source: RNAcentral
AUCAAAAUCACAUGAAAAGUGACCACGGACUCCAUCAAGCUCACAACCAUCUUGCCCACUCGAAUUUAGAUAAAAAGCACCCAAUUCAAUCAGCCAAGGUGAGUGUAAAAGUUCAAUAUGCUCAGCAUGCAUCUUGGAUUUGAAAUUCUCCCCAUUCAUAGAGCUGUGCACCUGUAAAAUAGCAAAGGAUGGAGUGAACUAAAAAACACUUAAGUUAACUAAGUAUAAAUGAAAAUGGAGGGGGGCAUAUUAAAGUGGCAACUGUCUCAUAUAAUACAUACUUUAUCAUAUUUCUUAAGUAUUUUCCUCAUUGCAAUUGCAUUCAUGGUAAUGUACUCAAUUAGAGGGGGGCAUAUUAAAGUGGCAACUGUCUCAUAUAAUACAUACUUUAUCAUAUUUCUUAAGUAUUUUCCUCAUUGCAAUUGCAUUCAUGGUAAUGUACUCAAUUAGAAUUCUUCCUUCUUGGGCAAGGGCUUGCCGAUCAUUUUUAAAACACUGGCGCAAACUCAGUACAUAUCUCUGCAGUCCUUUUGCAAUAUGGAGAUGAAGAAGAUGCUGAACUCUUGAACUAAAGUAGCCUGCUAUGUCUGAUGCUUCCUUCAUCAGCUCGGAGAAAAACUUCUGAUCGCAUACUACAAGUGGAAAAUAAAAAUACAUAACAAGACUGCAUAAAGUAAAAGACUUGUUAAAUAACAAGGCACGUAAUAAUACUUAAGCAUUUUGCUUAAAUACAGUUUAAAACCAAUGGCAGGUAACAUAAGCUUAUCAACUGCAAGGAAUAUUUGAAGCAAUGAAGUAUAAAGUAAAUUAACUACGUGAUACCAAACUUUGGUAUUAGAGAAGUUCUUGAAGUAAAACCGUAUUCACUGAAUAAAUACUAGAUAAAAAGCACCCAAUUCAAUCAGCCAAGGUGAGUGUAAAAGUUCAAUAUGCUCAGCAUGCAUCUUGGAUUUGAAAUUCUCCCCAUUCAUAGAGCUGUGCACCUGUAAAAUAGCAAAGGAUGGAGUGAACUAAAAAACACUUAAGUUAACUAAGUAUAAAUGAAAAUGGAGGGGGGCAUAUUAAAGUGGCAACUGUCUCAUAUAAUACAUACUUUA